CGGAGCAUGUGGUUUAAUUCGAAGCAACGCGAAGAACCUUACCAGGUCUUGACAUCCUCUGACAAUCUGAGAGAUCAGACUUCCCUUCGGGGACAGAGAGACAGGUGGUGCAUGGUUGUCGUCAGCUCGUGUCGUGAGAUGUUGGGUUAAGUCCCGCAACGAGCGCAACCCCUGUGGUUAGUUGCCAUCAUUUAGUUGGGCACUCUAAGCAGACUGCCGUGGAUAACACGGAGGAAGGUGGGGACGACGUCAAAUCAUCAUGCCCCUUAUGACCUGGGCUACACACGUGCUACAAUGGUCUGAACAGAGGGCUGCGAAACCGCGAGGUGAAGCUAAUCCCUUAAAACAGAUCUCAGUUCGGAUUGCAGGCUGCAACUCGCCUGCAUGAAGUUGGAGUUGCUAGUAAUCGCAGAUCAGAAUGCUGCGGUGAAUGCGUUCCCGGGUCUU
This 447-nucleotide ribosomal RNA is filed under the name uncultured Acetobacterium sp. Its description in RNAcentral is "bacterial SSU rRNA". It matches the Rfam family "Bacterial small subunit ribosomal RNA", at positions 933 to 1382 of the family's 1533-position model. Lineage: Bacteria; Bacillati; Bacillota; Clostridia; Eubacteriales; Eubacteriaceae. The record is from RNAcentral.